This 451-nucleotide ribosomal RNA is filed under the name uncultured soil bacterium. RNAcentral describes it as "bacterial SSU rRNA". It matches the Rfam family "Bacterial small subunit ribosomal RNA", at positions 26 to 486 of the family's 1533-position model. The record is from RNAcentral.
AGAUUGAACGCUGGCGGCAUGCCUAACACAUGCAAGUCGAACGGGAGUAGCAAUACUCUAGUGGCGGACGGGUGAGGAAUACGUAGGAAUUUGCCCUUAAGUGGGGGAUAACCCGGGGAAACCCGGAUUAAUACCGCAUGACCUCGAAAGAGCAAAGUGGGGGAUCGCAAGACCUCACGCUUUUGGAGAAGCCUACGUCGGAUUAGCUAGUUGGUGAGGUAAUGGCUCACCAAGGCGACGAUCCGUAACUGGUCUGAGAGGAUGAUCAGUCACACCGGAACUGAGACACGGUCCGGACUCCUACGGGAGCAGCAGGUGGGAAUAGUUGGACAAUGGGCGCAAGCCUAGAUCCAGCAAUCGCCGCGUGUGUAGGAAGAAGGUCCGUUACGGUUAGUAAAGUCAACGUUUAAGGUUAGGGAAAGAAAAACGUACGACUACGUAACACUAGUAG